This 253-nucleotide ribosomal RNA is filed under the name uncultured bacterium. RNAcentral describes it as "partial 16S ribosomal RNA". It matches the Rfam family "Bacterial small subunit ribosomal RNA", at positions 524 to 776 of the family's 1533-position model. The record is from RNAcentral.
GACAGAGGGUGCAAACGUUGCUCGGAAUUACUGGGCGUAAAGCGCGUGUAGGCGGACCACCAAGUCGGACGUGAAAGCCCUGAGCUCAACUCAGGAACUGCAUCCGAAACUGGCGGUCUGGAGUAGUGGAGAGGAAAGCAGAAUUCCUGGUGUAGAGGUGAAAUUCGUAGAUAUUCGCAAGAACACCAGUGGCGAAGGCGGCUCACUGGCCCGAUACUGACGCUGAGGCACGAAAGCGUGGGGAGCAAACAGG